CAAUAGCGUAUAUUAACGUUGUUGCAGUUAAAAAGCUCGUAGUUGGAUUUCUGGAGGGAGCGUCGGCCCGUAUUUACGAGUGCGUGACGUCUCUGUCCAUCCUUGCGGGAAGGCACGGCAUUGAUUUGUUGUGUCGGAUCGCAUCAUUUACUGUGAAAAAAUUAGAGUGUUCAAAGCAGGCUUUCGCUUGAAUACAUUAGCAUGGAAUAAUAAGAUAGGACUUUGGUGCUAUUUUGUUGGUUGAGCCUAAAGUAAUGAUUAAUAGGGAUAGUUGGGGGCACCUGUAUUGCGUUGUCAGAGGUGAAAUUCUUGGAUUUACGGAAGACAAACAGCUGCGAAAGCGUCUGCCAAGGAUGUUUUCAUUA
Molecule: ribosomal RNA, 365 nt
Filed under: uncultured eukaryote
Lineage: Eukaryota
Description: partial 18S ribosomal RNA
Rfam family: Eukaryotic small subunit ribosomal RNA
Source: RNAcentral